AGACCCGAAACCCGGUGAUCUAGCCAUGGGCAGGUUGAAGGUUGGGUAACACUAACUGGAGGACCGAACCGACUAAUGUUGAAAAAUUAGCGGAUGACCUGUGGCUGGGGGUGAAAGGCCAAUCAAACCGGGAGAUAGCUGGUUCUCCCCGAAAGCUAUUUAGGUAGCGCCUCGUGAAUUCAUCUCCGGGGGUAGAGCACUGUUUCGGCUAGGGGGCCAUCCCGGCUUACCAACCCGAUGCAAACUGCGAAUACCGGAGAAUGUUAUCACGGGAGACACACGGCGGGUGCUAACGUCCGUCGUGAAGAGGGAAACAACCCAGACCGCCAGCUAAGGUCCCAAAGUCAUGGUUAAGUGGGAAACGAUGUGGGAAGGCCCAGACAGCCAGGAUGUUGGCUUAGAAGCAGCCAUCAUUUAAAGAAAGCGUAAUAGCUCACUGGUCGAGUCGGCCUGCGCGGAAGAUGUAACGGGGCUAAACCAUGCACCGAAGCUGCGGCAGCGACGCUGAUGCGUUGUUGGGUAGGGGAGCGUUCUGUAAGCCUGCGAAGGUGGCCUGUGAGG
RNAcentral lists this ribosomal RNA (561 nucleotides) under Salmonella enterica. RNAcentral's name for it is "partial 23S ribosomal RNA". It matches the Rfam family "Bacterial large subunit ribosomal RNA", at positions 711 to 1268 of the family's 2925-position model. RNAcentral also lists the same sequence under 2 other names. The record is from RNAcentral. Lineage: Bacteria; Pseudomonadati; Pseudomonadota; Gammaproteobacteria; Enterobacterales; Enterobacteriaceae.